RNAcentral lists this ribosomal RNA (435 nucleotides) under uncultured bacterium. RNAcentral's name for it is "partial 16S ribosomal RNA". It matches the Rfam family "Bacterial small subunit ribosomal RNA", at positions 29 to 507 of the family's 1533-position model. The record is from RNAcentral.
AGCGAACGCUGGCGGCAGGCUUAACACAUGCAAGUCGAGCGGGCAUCUUCGGAUGUCAGCGGCAGACGGGUGAGUAACACGUGGGAACGUACCCUUCGGUUCGGAACAACUCUGGGAAACUGGAGCUCAUACCGGAUACGCCCUUAUGGGUAAAGGUUUACUGCCGAAGGAUCGGCCCGCGUCUGAUUAGCUAGUUGGUUGGGUAACGGCCUACCAAGGCGACGAUCAGUAGCUGGUCUGAGAGGAUGAUCAGCCACACUGUGACUGAGACACGGCCCAGACUCGUACGGGAGGCAGGAGUGGGGAAUAUUGGAAAAUGGGGGCAAGCAUGAUCGAGCCAUGGCGGGUGAGUGAUGAAGGCGUGAGGGAUGUAAAGCUCUUUUGUCCGGGACGAUAAUGACGGUACCGGAAGAAUAAGCCCCGGCUAACUUCGUG